UUGGGUAUUUCGUUGAUCUCAGACUUUCUCGUGUAGAUUUUGGAUCCUUUUGUAUAUAUGUUUGAUCUCUACGAUUUCUUUCACCAUUUGAAACCUUUUAUAGCCUUAAGAAACAAGAGAAAAUAUAUUAAGCAGAAAAAGAGCCGUUAGAGCAUUUUUAGGAAGCAUAAAAGGCAAUUAAAACGGGCAAAAAACUAGCCGUUGCGG
Molecule: long non-coding RNA, 207 nt
Filed under: Elaeis guineensis (African oil palm)
Lineage: Eukaryota; Viridiplantae; Streptophyta; Magnoliopsida; Arecales; Arecaceae
Description: long non-coding RNA (EGUI_LNC013846)
Source: RNAcentral